UACGUAGGAUGCAAGCGUUGUCCGGAUUUAUUGGGUUUAAAGGGUGCGUAGGUGGUUUGAUAAGUCGUGGGUGAAAGGUAUCAGCUUAACUGAUGAAAUGCCUGCGAUACUGUCAGACUUGAGUACGGUUGAGGUAUGUAGAAUUGAUGGUGUAGCGGUGAAAUGCAUAGAUACCAUCAGGAAUACCAAUUGCGAAGGCAGCAUACUAAGCCGUAACUGACACUGAGGCACGAAAGCGUGGGGAUCAAACAGG
This 253-nucleotide ribosomal RNA is filed under the name bacterium. RNAcentral describes it as "partial 16S ribosomal RNA". It matches the Rfam family "Bacterial small subunit ribosomal RNA", at positions 524 to 776 of the family's 1533-position model. The record is from RNAcentral. RNAcentral also lists the same sequence under 1 other name.